This 775-nucleotide RNase P RNA is filed under the name Carboxydothermus hydrogenoformans Z-2901. Its description in RNAcentral is "Bacterial RNase P class A". It matches the Rfam family "Bacterial RNase P class A". Rfam says of the family: Ribonuclease P (RNase P) is a ubiquitous endoribonuclease, found in archaea, bacteria and eukarya as well as chloroplasts and mitochondria. Lineage: Bacteria; Bacillati; Bacillota; Clostridia; Thermoanaerobacterales; Thermoanaerobacteraceae. The record is from Rfam by way of RNAcentral.
CGAGUAAGCCGGAUGACCGCGGGGAGAAAUCCCUGAGGAAAGUCCGAGCUCCAUAGGGCAGGAUGCCGGGUAACGCCCGGUGGAGGCGACUCCAAGGAAAGUGCCACAGAAACAAACCGCCUUAUUGGAAGUUGGAGGUGAGAGGUUAGAAGUUGGAAAGGAGAAAUUAAAUGAUUUACUCCUUUAAAGAUUUAGAAGUUUACCAAACUUCUUAUAAUCUUGCUCUUGAAAUAUAUAAAAUCAUAACAACUUUUCCCAAAUAUGAGCAGUACGAGCUUGCAAGUCAAUUUCGCAGAGCCGUAAUUUCAAUUCCUUUAAAUAUUGCGGAAGGCUUUGGUCGUAAACGUUCAAUUUUAACUUUUAAAAGUUUUAUUUUAAAUAGCCUUGGCUCUUGUAAUGAAGUGUUAGUAUUACUGGACUUUGCUAAGGAUUUAAAUUAUUUAGAUGAAAACACUUACCAAUAUUUUUAUAAGGAGUAUGAAUUACUUGCUAAAAAAAUAAAUCGCUUAUAUGCCAAUUGGAAAUAAGGUUUUUUCUAAUUUCUAACUUCCAACCUCCAACUUCCAGUAGGGUAAGGGUGGAAAGGUGAGGUAAGAGCUCACCAGCGGGCAGGUAACUGUCCGGCUAGGCAAACCCCAUCCGGAGCAAGACCAAAUAGGGGGACUAUAGAGUGGCCCGCUCUGUCCCCGGGUUGGUCGCUUAAGGCCUCUGGUGACAGAGGUCUCAGAUAGAUGGUCAUCCUCGACAGAACUCGGCUUACAGGCUUACUCGCUUG